GACGAACGCUGGCGGCGUGCUUAACACAUGCAAGUCGAACGGAAAGGCCCUGCUUUUGUGGGGUGCUCGAGUGGCGAACGGGUGAGUAACACGUGAGUAACCUGCCCUUGACUUUGGGAUAACUUCAGGAAACUGGGGCUAAUACCGGAUAGGAGCUCCUGCUGCAUGGUGGGGGUUGGAAAGUUUCGGCGGUUGGGGAUGGACUCGCGGCUUAUCAGCUUGUUGGUGGGGUAGUGGCUUACCAAGGCUUUGACGGGUAGCCGGCCUGAGAGGGUGACCGGCCACAUUGGGACUGAGAUACGGCCCAGACUCCCACGGGAGGCAGCAGUGGGGAAUAUUGCACAAUGGGCGGAAGCCUGAUGCAGCAACGCCGCGUGCGGGAUGACGGCCUUCGGGUUGUAAACCGCUUUCGCCUGUGACGAAGCGUGAGUGACGGUAAUGGGUAAAGAAGCACCGGCUAACUACGUGCCAGCAGCCGCGGUGAUACGUAGGGUGCGAGCGUUGUCCGGAUUUAUUGGGCGUAAAGGGCUCGUAGGUGGUUGAUCGCGUCGGAAGUGUAAUCUUGGGGCUCAACCCUGAGCGUGCUUUCGAUACGGGUUGACUUGAGGAAGGUAGGGGAGAAUGGAAUUCCUGGUGGAGCGGUGGAAUGCGCAGAUAUCAGGAGGAACACCAGUGGCGAAGGCGGUUCUCUGGGCCUUUCCUGACGCUGAGGAGCGAAAGCGUGGGGAGCGAACAGGCUUAGAUACCCUGGUAGUCCACGCUGUAAACGGUGGGUACUAGGUGUGGGGUCCAUUCCACGGGUUCCGUGCCGUAGCUAACGCUUUAAGUACCCCGCCUGGGGAGUACGGCCGCAAGGCUAAAACUCAAAGGAAUUGACGGGGCCCCGCACAAGCGGCGGAGCAUGCGGAUUAAUUCGAUGCAACGCGUAGAACCUUACCUGGGUUUGACAUGGAUCGGGAGUGCUCAGAGAUGGGUGUGCCUCUUUUGGGGUCGGUUCACAGGUGGUGCAUGGCUGUCGUCAGCUCGUGUCGUGAGAUGUUGGGUUAAGUCCCGCAACGAGCGCAACCCUUGUUCACUGUUGCCAGCACGUUAUGGUGGGGACUCAGUGGAGACCGCCGGGGUCAACUCGGAGGAAGGUGGGGAUGACGUCAAGUCAUCAUGCCCCUUAUGUCCAGGGCUUCACGCAUGCUACAAUGGCUGGUACAGAGAGUGGCGAGCCUGUGAGGGUGAGCGAAUCUCGGAAAGCCGGUCUCAGUUCGGAUUGGGGUCUGCAACUCGACCUCAUGAAGUCGGAGUCGCUAGUAAUCGCAGAUCAGCAACGCUGCGGUGAAUACGUUCCCGGG
This 1343-nucleotide ribosomal RNA is filed under the name uncultured bacterium. RNAcentral describes it as "16S ribosomal RNA". It matches the Rfam family "Bacterial small subunit ribosomal RNA", at positions 28 to 1378 of the family's 1533-position model. The record is from RNAcentral.